Molecule: ribosomal RNA, 756 nt
Filed under: uncultured Glomerales
Lineage: Eukaryota; Fungi; Glomeromycota; Glomeromycetes; Glomerales; Glomeraceae
Description: LSU rRNA
Rfam family: Eukaryotic large subunit ribosomal RNA
Source: RNAcentral
GCAUAUCAAUAAGCGGAGGAAAAGAAACUAACAAGGAUUCCCCCAGUAACUGCGAGUGAAGAGGGAAGAGCUCAAAUUUAGAAUCUGGCAGUCAUCAGGCUGUCCGAGUUGUAAAUUAGAGAAGCGUUAUCCGCACUGGCCUGUGCAUAAGUCUCUUGGAAUAGGGCAUCAUAGAGGGUGACAAUCCCGUCUUUGGCACAGAUCACCAGAGCGUUUGUGAUGCGCUUUCAAUGAGUCGAGUUGUUUGGGAAUGCAGCUCUAAAAGGGUGGUAAAUUCCAUCUAAAGCUAAAUAUUGGCGAGAGACCGAUAGCGAACAAGUACCGUGAGGGAAAGAUGAAAAGAACUUUGAAAAGAGAGUUAAACAGUACGUGAAAUUGUUGAAAGGGAAACGAUUGAAGUCAGUCGUACCAACGGGAAAUCAACCUUUGGAGCGUUAAUUUUGUGAAUCUUUGAAGAGUCUCAAAGCCUUCGGGUUUGCAUAUUUACGUUCUUUGGGCGUACUUUCUCGUACGGUAGGUUAACAUCGAUUUUUGAACAUUAUAAAAUGACUGGAGGAAUGUAGCUUCGAUCUCGUAUUGAAGUGUUAUAGCCUUUGGUAGAUGUAAUGAUCAAGAUCGAGGAUUGCAACGAAUACCCUUUUGGGCUAUCCGUCUGAUCUCUAAUACGUUACCUUGGUUACGAAAGCGUGCUUUCGGCAUUAAGGUGAACGAUUAAAAGGUUAGAACGUGAUUAAAUUCGUUAAGGAUGUUGACGUA